AGUGAACGCUGGCGGUAGGCCUAACACAUGCAAGUCGAACGGCAGCACAGUAAGAGCUUGCUCUUACGGGUGGCGAGUGGCGGACGGGUGAGGAAUACAUCGGAAUCUACUUUUUCGUGGGGGAUAACGUAGGGAAACUUACGCUAAUACCGCAUACGACCUACGGGUGAAAGCAGGGGAUCUUCGGACCUUGCGCGAUUGAAUGAGCCGAUGUCGGAUUAGCUAGUUGGCGGGGUAAAGGCCCACCAAGGCGACGAUCCGUAGCUGGUCUGAGAGGAUGAUCAGCCACACUGGAACUGAGACACGGUCCAGACUCCUACGGGAGGCAGAAGUGGGGAAUAUUGGACAAUGGGCGCAAGCCUGAUCCAGCCAUACCGCGUGGGUGAAGAAGGCCUUCGGGUUGUAAAGCCCUUUUGUUGGGAAAGAAAAGCAGCAGGUUAAUACCCCGCUGUUCGGACGGUACCCAAAGAAUAAGCACCGGCUAACUUCGU
Molecule: ribosomal RNA, 491 nt
Filed under: uncultured bacterium
Lineage: Bacteria
Description: partial 16S ribosomal RNA
Rfam family: Bacterial small subunit ribosomal RNA
Source: RNAcentral